Long non-coding RNA from Macadamia integrifolia, 873 nucleotides. RefSeq lists it as uncharacterized. The transcript is spliced from 2 exons. Lineage: Eukaryota; Viridiplantae; Streptophyta; Magnoliopsida; Proteales; Proteaceae. The record is from RefSeq and is a predicted model, not a curated record.
GCUCUUACUUUCUUGUUAUAUUAUGCUAAAUCAUAUUCCAUCAGUAAUGUUUUAGAAAAAAAUUGCUACUGUUUGAAAGUUAAUUAAAUGAAGUUCUAUUGUAUGCAAAGGCAGGAACUUCCAGACAAUGUGAUUAUGUUUCCUGACCAGUUCUCUGCUUUCCUCUAAGAGGUGAUUAAAGAGUAUCUUGGGAUGAAGAAAGUGGGUAAGGCUUAGAACUUACAGUUGGGAUAAAGGCAGGGGAGGAACUGGAGACCAUCGUCUACAUUGUCAUCCAAGUUUAGAUGGGUCCGUUUCCAACCGUAUUCACAUUCACACCUGUAGCCGAAUGGCCCAUUGUUGGAAGCAUAGCAGGUUCCGUUUCCACAGUUAACAAGGUCGCACACAUUACUUGUAUCUACAAAGUAAAUUGAAGCAUAAUAUGCACUUACUAUUCCAGCUGAGAAGAUUUAAGGAUUUAGAAAAGGAAUUAUCAGUUACUUCAAGACGAGCAGCUGAGAAGAUUAAAAAUUGUACAGAGACACAUACAAGGAGGGGGCUCAUCACUGAUGGAGUACUCAUUGGCCAUAAAAUUUAAAUGAAGAAAUAGGGGUAAUGAAUAGAAGAGCAGCAGAAGUACCUGAAUCGGUGACGCUUAUGGAUGUACGAGGUUGCAGGAGAGAGAUGGCAAGGAGGGUGAUGCCAAUAAGACUCCUAGUACUACUACUACUAGUGAAGGAACCCAUCUCAGAUUCUUAGCAGCGACAAAGAAGACAAGGAGGACACAUCAGUCGGGAUACUUAUAAACAGUUAAAAAUUGUCUGAAGGAUUAGGUGAGAAAGGGAUUCUCAUAAACAGUUAAAAAAGUGUCUGAAGGAUUGGGUGAGGCUUCAA